RNAcentral lists this ribosomal RNA (377 nucleotides) under uncultured bacterium. RNAcentral describes it as "bacterial SSU rRNA". It matches the Rfam family "Bacterial small subunit ribosomal RNA", at positions 521 to 896 of the family's 1533-position model. The record is from RNAcentral.
UAAGACGAACCGUCCAAACGUUAUUCGGAAUCACUGGGCUUAAAGGGUGCGUAGGCUGCGCUGUUAGUCGGGUGUGAAAUCCCUCAGCUUAACUGAGGAAUUGCGCCCGAUACUGCAGUGCUGGAGGGAGACAGGGGUAAGCGGAACUGAUGGUGGAGCGGUGAAAUGUGUUGAUAUCAUCAGGAACACCGGUGGCGAAAGCGGCUUACUGGGUCUCUUCUGACGCUGAGGCACGAAAGCUAGGGGAGCGAACGGGAUUAGAUACCCCGGUAGUCCUAGCCGUAAACGAUGAGCACUUGAUCGGAGACUCCUCCAUAGGUUUCCGGUCGUAGCGAAAGUGUUAAGUGCUCCGCCUGGGGAGUAUGGUCGCAAGGCUG